GGGCGGUUAGCUCAGCGGUAGAGCGCUUCGUUCACACCGAAGAGGUCGCUGGUUCGAGUCCAGCACCGCCCACCA
Molecule: transfer RNA, 75 nt
Filed under: Armatimonadota bacterium
Lineage: Bacteria; Bacillati; Armatimonadota
Also listed under: 2 other names
Description: Armatimonadetes bacterium (sediment metagenome) tRNA-Val
Rfam family: tRNA
About the family: Transfer RNA (tRNA) molecules are approximately 80 nucleotides in length. Their secondary structure includes four short double-helical elements and three loops (D, anti-codon, and T loops).
Source: RNAcentral